UACGGAGGGGGCUAGCGUUUGUUCGGAAUUACUGGGCGUAAAGCGCACGUAGGCGGCUUUGUAAGUUAGAGGUGAAAGCCCAGAGCUCAACUCUGGAACUGCCUUUAAGACUGCAUCGCUUGAAUCAUGGAGAGGUUAGUGGAAUUCCGAGUGUAGAGGUGAAAUUCGUAGAUAUUCGGAAGAACACCAGUGGCGAAGGCGACUAACUGGACAUGUAUUGACGCUGAGGUGCGAAAGCGUGGGGAGCAAACAGG
This 254-nucleotide ribosomal RNA is filed under the name uncultured bacterium. Its description in RNAcentral is "partial 16S ribosomal RNA". It matches the Rfam family "Bacterial small subunit ribosomal RNA", at positions 524 to 776 of the family's 1533-position model. The record is from RNAcentral.